Molecule: ribosomal RNA, 203 nt
Filed under: uncultured bacterium
Lineage: Bacteria
Description: partial 16S ribosomal RNA
Rfam family: Bacterial small subunit ribosomal RNA
Source: RNAcentral
UACGGAGGGUGCGAGCGUUAAUCGGAAUUACUGGGCGUAAAGAGUGCGUAGGUGGUUAAUUAAGUUAUCUGUGAAAUCCCUGGGCUUAACCUGGGCAGGUCAGAUGAUACUGAUUGACUCGAGUAUGGGAGAGGGUAGUGGAAUUUCCGGUGUAGCGGUGAAAUGCGUAGAGAUCGGAAAGGAACACCAGUGGCAAGGACGGC